RNAcentral lists this ribosomal RNA (356 nucleotides) under uncultured Pelotomaculum sp. Its description in RNAcentral is "bacterial SSU rRNA". It matches the Rfam family "Bacterial small subunit ribosomal RNA", at positions 1028 to 1382 of the family's 1533-position model. The record is from RNAcentral. Lineage: Bacteria; Bacillati; Bacillota; Clostridia; Eubacteriales; Desulfotomaculaceae.
CGGGAGACAGGUGGUGCAUGGUUGUCGUCAGCUCGUGUCGUGAGAUGUUGGGUUAAGUCCCGCAACGAGCGCAACCCCUACGUUUAGUUGCUAACGCGUGAAGGCGAGCACUCUAGACGAACUGCCGUUGACAAAACGGAGGAAGGUGGGAUGACGUCAAAUCAUCAUGCCCCUUAUGUUCUGGGCUACACACGUGCUACAAUGGCCGGUACAGACGGACGCAAAGCCGCGAGGUGGAGCAAAUCCUAAAAAGCCGGUCUCAGUUCGGAUUGCAGGCUGCAAUUCGCCUGCAUGAAGUCGGAAUCGCUAGUAAUCGCAGGUCAGCAUACUGCCGGUCGAAUACGUUCCCGGGCCUU